Non-coding RNA from Caenorhabditis elegans, 76 nucleotides. The record is from Ensembl. NCBI's taxonomy places the organism in Eukaryota, Metazoa, Nematoda, Chromadorea, Rhabditida, Rhabditidae.
UAGGCUUAGGCUUAGGCUUAAUCUCAGGCUUAGGCUUAGGCUUAGUCUCAGGUUUAGGCUUAGGCUUAGGCUUAGG